RNAcentral lists this transfer RNA (74 nucleotides) under Phycisphaera sp. Its description in RNAcentral is "tRNA-Pro". It matches the Rfam family "tRNA". Rfam says of the family: Transfer RNA (tRNA) molecules are approximately 80 nucleotides in length. Their secondary structure includes four short double-helical elements and three loops (D, anti-codon, and T loops). RNAcentral also lists the same sequence under 1 other name. The record is from RNAcentral. Lineage: Bacteria; Pseudomonadati; Planctomycetota; Phycisphaerae; Phycisphaerales; Phycisphaeraceae.
CUGGGUGUAGCUCAGCUUGGUAGAGUGCGUGCCUUGGAAGCACGAGGCCAGAGGUUCGAAUCCUCUCACCCAGA